This 3181-nucleotide long non-coding RNA is filed under the name Nicotiana tabacum (common tobacco). Its description in RNAcentral is "long non-coding RNA (NTAB_LNC017227)". The record is from RNAcentral. Lineage: Eukaryota; Viridiplantae; Streptophyta; Magnoliopsida; Solanales; Solanaceae.
UCCGAACUUUUAUUAUUUCAAGUCAUAUUUCAGGCAAACAGUCAAAGCUAAGGUAGACAAAAUAUACAUAUAAAGAAGGCAAGUUCUUCAUUUGUCCUAAACUGUCACUUAAGCUGCUUCCUUUUUUCUCCUAUUCCAGGUGUCCAAUUAGUACUACAACAGCUGAAAGAAGUUUUCGUUUUGAUUUUUAUAAUUGGCUACAUAUAAAGCAUAUGUUACCAUUUUCUAUCAGAGGUUUUUUACUUUCUCGGUUCCACUUCAUCUUUCAUUUGAAACAAAAAUGCACCACAAAAUAAAAAAAAACCCAUAAAUUCUUGAAGAUGGGUUUCAAGAAUAUAUUCUUGAUCUUUUCUUAGGUUGAGGUGGAAUUUGAAUUUGAAGUUUAUGAGUUCUGAAUAUGAAGUUUUCGAGUUUUGAGUUUAUUAGAUAUAUUAUGCAUAGAUUUCUCAAUAAAUAUAGGGUUUGGACCAAUAUUACUAGGUUCUGAUCAAGUACUUCUCAUGCUAGAUCUGCCCUUGGUUAUAAGUUUAUACAUUUUUGUGGUGGUUCAAGUCAAGAAACUUGUGGAGCCAAAACAAUGUUCUAUAUGAGGAAGGUUCAAGUGGAUUUUGAUUUUGCAGCAAUCAAGAUAUUUGGAAAGCUAAUGCAGAUGCAAAUGGCUUGCUUUUCACAUUUUGUUCUUUGCACUUAUUUUUCUGUUUUGGUGUGUAUUUGAUUUUUUAUUGUGGUGUUUAAUUUGGCGGCGAAAGGCGGUGGUUUGUGGUGGUGAUAUUGGCGGGGACGGCUCAAUCUUCUUUCACGGUACCAAUAUUUAUCUAUAUCAUCUUUAUCUUGAUUUUAUCUAGUGAAAAAUACAUUGUAAAUGUUUAUUAUGCAGCAGCAUUACAUUUCUUUUUGUCGUUGUUCAAUGAUUUUCUCAUUCUAUAAAAAAUACAACCAAAAAGGAAAAAAAAUUUCUAUGUUUUGCUGUUUUGCACGAUUUUGGCUUUGUGAGUUCUGCAUUCUAGUAGUUCUUAUUUUAUAAUAACUUCCAUUAAUGCAAUCAAUUUUUUUUUUUCAAUUCUCUUUUUUGUUCUCUCAAUUGCUUUGACAUUGGGUUUCUCUUACGGCACUAACAAUCUAGUCUAACGUACUGAGAGUACUUGAGUUAGCGAAUAGUAACUAUACAGAUAUCGGUUGCAUAGACUUACGUCGCCCUUCCAAGGAAUCUUAGGGAGGCACUGCAUAAUAGUUGGUUUUAUAUAUAUAUAUAUAUAAAAUAGAUUUCUUAACAUAAAUACAUAAUUUGAGUGAAUAUACUCCUUAAUUUGUGGAUCUUGGAUGUACAAUAGAUGAACAUGUAGAUAAUGACCCAACAUAAGCUAGUAGCCAUGCAAAUUACUAGUUUUAGACUUGUUAGAAUAGGAUAACAAAGUAGCACUAACAUAGGCUAUUUUCAUAAAUGUACAUUUACAAACAUAAACACAAAUAGUGUACUGUGUUUGUACAUCUGUAUGGAAGGGGACAGGUCAGGGAAAUAGUACUAAGGCGUUGGGGACUUUGGGUCAAAAGUUAAAAAAGGGGAUGACCUCGUUGCUUCUAAUUCUAUCAUCACAGUCAUGCUUAAAUUCUGUGUUUUUCAAUAUUUUCUUAUAAAUUUAAGUUAUACAAUAUAGUGAUAAUAUAAAUAUCUACUUUUGAUAAUCGUGAUGUUCGGACUAAUCUACGCACAUUUCAAUUAGUUUCACAUAAUAGCUGCACCUUCCACGGACUCAAAUAUUAGAUAAUUUUAUUUACUAAGACUUUGAACAAAUAGAAAGAAAUUAUCUAAUCAUGUUUUUCCUUUAGCUGGACCCGAAAAUCUCAUGGUUCAUAUAGUCCACUUAUUAUUUUAAUUAUGAUAUUAUACCAAUUAAUGUUUGUUAUAAGAAGGGCAGCCCGGUGCACUAAAAAUCUUAUAUUUAUAAAUCUUAUGACAAACAUUAAAAAGAGCAGCCUAGUGCACUAAGAUCCCGUUAUGUGCGGGGUUCGGGGAAGGACUGGACUACAAGGAUCUAUUAUGCGCAGCCUUAUCUUGCAAAAAUACACGGUAAGGUUGCAUACAAUAGACCCUUGCGGUCUGGUCCUUCCCCAGAUCCCGCUACAUAGAGGGAGCUUAGUGCAUUGAGUUGCCUUUUUUAAUGUUUGUCAUAAGAUUUGUAAUCAUAAGAUUUAUUACAUAAAUUAGUACACAUAACUUAAACUUUUUUUUUAAAAUGUGUUUUGCAUUUCGGUUUUCCCGUGGACGUGAAUUUGGGAGUGAUUUGUUGCUAAUUUUCCGCAUCUUUUUCCUUUUGUUUAGGAAAUUUCCUUACAAUGCUUUAGGAAAUUUCCUUCAUGGUUCUUGACCUAAUGAGAAUAAUAGUUGCGAGGUUGGUUUAAGUGUGCCUCAAGUUGGAAAUAUCACUAGUUAAAAUUGUAUUGAUAGUUAGUGGGCAUUUGGACAUAAGAAUUUUAAAAUUUUGAAAAAAUUUAAGUGAAAAUGGUAGUUGAAAAUUAGAGUUGUGUUUGGACAUAAAUAUAUUUUUUUGUUGUUUUUAAAUUUUUGUGAGUGAUAUAAGUAAAAAUUUUGAAAAACAGUUUUUUAGAUUUUUUUUCAAAUUUUCAAAAAAUUCCAAAACCAUCUUCAAGUAAAAAUUAAAAAUUUUAUGGCCAAAUACUAAUUUUUAAGAAAAAAUAAAAAAAGAGAAAAAUUUCAUGAACAAACGGGCUCUUAAUGUACCAAGAGAUUGGAAAAAAGUUAUGUUUAAAAUAUAAAGGGAUUAUCUGCUAUACUUAAAAACUUAUUUUAUAUCAAAUUAAUGAAUGCAAGAUACAUAUAUUUAAUACAUCAUGUUAAGUGAUUUGAAUUGUUAUAUGAUCUAGAACACCAACGCAAAUAAGUAUUUGUCAUGUUCUAUCCACAGGGCCAAAGAUAGACACUCGGUCCCAUCGGGCUAGAAUCCGAGAUCCGAAUAUCCGUCCUCGAGAAUAUUGAGUCCAUGAUCCUGGAAUUAAUCCUGACUUUGAAUGAGCUUGAGGUAACGUUGUCGGUGUAACCCAUAGAAGAUCGAAAUAAUAUAAGGCCCAAAUAUCCAUAAUCGGCCGGAUCUUGCGGCGGGAUUCUCGGCACGUAUCAAUAAUAAAUCAGGAGAUUUUUAUCUAUUAUAGAAUUGUACCUAAA